This is a non-coding RNA of Rattus norvegicus (Norway rat), 2764 nucleotides long. Lineage: Eukaryota; Metazoa; Chordata; Mammalia; Rodentia; Muridae. The record is from RefSeq and is a predicted model, not a curated record.
GGAGCUGCUGUCGGAACAGGCUGUAAAACAGCGGUUAUGCAGGCUGCCUCUCUGCCCGAUUGACCUUAUGAAAUGCAAAAUCCUUCCUUCCCCACAAUUUCUCAUUUUGAUAAGUAGUCUCUAGAUCAGACCUGAAAUGGCCAGAGUCAAGCCUCUGUUCUGGGACUCUAGAUCUCUCACUGAACAUGGAGCUUACCAAUUUGACUAGACAUGCUGACCAAUGUGUCCCAGAUGGUUGCUUGUCGACUCCCUCAGCGUCAGUAGCAAGUAUUUUAUUGACGGCCAUUUACUGACUGUCUCCGCCGACCAGGAUCCUCUCCAUGCGCUGACGUCAAACAUUGUUCUUCUGUCCAUCUUCCCUAAUAAGUUGGACUCUUUGAAGUCCCUCUUGCAAGAACCUAGCACGGCUGUCCUCUGAGAGGCUCUACCUAGAAGCUGAGUGAGACAGAUGCAGAUACUCACAGCUAAGUAUUGAUCUGAGGUCAGGGACCCCUACGGAAGAGUUAGGGGAAGGUUGGAAGGAGCUGAAGGGGAUGGCAACCCCAUAGGAAGACCAACAAGACCAACAGUGUAACUAACCCAGACCACUGGGAGCUUCCUAAAACUGAGUCACCAAUCAAAGAGCACACACGGAGUGGUCCAAGCCACCCCCUCUUCCUGACACAUAUGUUUCAGAGAGCUGCCUUGUCUGGCCUCAGUGGGAGAGGAUGUGCCUAAUCCUGUAGAGAGUUGAUGCUUCAGAGUGUUGGAAUUCCUGGUUGGGGGCAGCCUCUCAGAAGCAAAGGGGAGGAGGACAUUUGGGAUGUAAAUAAAGAAAUAAUUAAUAAUAAUAUAUAAAAAUCCUUACAAAAGUUUGAUUCCUAUAAUGGAUCAAUAUGGAGCUUCUACACAGUAUGAAGUAAAUGCCUAUGUAUUAAAGCUGAGAGGUCUUUUAUCAGGUAAGAAGAAGAAUUGUCAGACGGUGAGUAGUAUAUAAUUCUACAACUAACAGACAGGGAUGGGAGAGAAUGCAAUUAUUUCUUACACAACACUACAAUGGGAUAAAUGUAUCUACAGCUUUACAUCAGAUGGUGAGGAGGAGUUUUAUGUGAGUUCAGUCUUUCCACAGGGAUCUUCCUGGCGGCUGGUGUCAAAUCACAAGGAAAGUCCUUCUCUUGGAGGUGCUAACUGCAAUAGACCCGGGUCAGUAGGUAGCGAUUCGGAAUUUUAUAUUUUUGACCCAAUGACCUCUGUCAGUGGGAAAGAGAUCCAACACUGGGCAGGAUACACAUUAUGUAACUGAUCCGGGGGACUAAUUGGGUCUCGCUGGAUCUAAUGAACAGCCUGGCAGAAGGGAGACCUGAGCUGUGCUUUGCCAGUUGGGCUGAUGAGGGGUGAGAGAAUUCUUCAGGUAAAGUUGACAGAAUAUGAACUGUGUCCUCAGACAAAGCUCUGUGGGUGCUUUUGUUAGCACAAAGACUUUUUAUAAGGGAGAAAUGUGGGCAAAGUCACAAAGACACGCCUACACACAUAAUGGAAGCCUGUUCUAUAGCUAUGCCACAGAAACUUGCUAAAAGAUGGCCGUGAAGAAUCCCUUAAAGAAGCGACUCCCUGAGCUGGAUUAGACUCAGGAAAGGGUCUUGAAAUCACAUUGGCAAGGUCCACAGGUCUGAAUAAGAAGAAAAGGAAUCCCCCCUAUUGGACUCCAACCCAGCAGGCUUGGAGUUACUACACACACAGGGAGACCGUAAGGGACGUCUCCUGCACUCGCGUGUCACUCUAAUGAGCUGUUUUAAUGAACUUCGCUGUCACUCAGCGCCUCUCAUUGUCAUAAAUUUUCCACAGAGCAAGGAGCGCGGUCAGCUGACCGUCUUAUUCAUCGGGUGACGGUGUUGUUAGCUUUCCACCUUCAUAAUGAAAUUCUCCAGUCAGCUGCGAAUGAGCAGGAAGCCAGCUGCUAUAUUUAGCAAAGGCAAGAGAGACAAGUCUCAGGGCCCCGGGGAGAAGGAAACAGAAGCCUGGGUUUCGGUUAGCUCAGCCCGCAGCAUCGCUUACGGAUUUCCAGAGUUCGUCGUCGCUGGCCGAAGCAGAGGGUUUUGUUUGUUGUUUGUUUAUCACAGAAAGCGAAGCCCAAUAAAUCAAUGCUGAGGAUAACCUUGUGUGUAUUUGGUACCAGCUUUCUGGAAGAUGUCAACUCCUUUACCUCUAAAGUCACUUCAUUUCUAUGACUUCCAGACACGGCAACCAGGGUCAGCGUUUUUUGAGUUGUGGUCCACAAGACUUAAUGAGGUUGACAAUUUGACAUUUCAACUUAAAAGGAUGACCCUCUAGAUCAAGUAGAAAUAUGAACUUACAUAUUAGUCAUUCAAACAUUUCAAGUUAUCGUCCCUUCCACAAGGCCACCUCCCUUCCUUCACCCUAGACUUUCCAGCUCAGGGAGGAGCAGGUAUGAUCUAUCUCAAGUGGGUGAGUAUAGCACCCAGAUUCCUAACCACACCCCACUUUUGGCUCGUGUUUUUGUCAACUUGCUCCCCUAGAUUCGAAAUUUAAGAAGACUAUUGUACCGUCAAAGUGCUCAGUUGCGGGAACAGAGAAGACAUGUGACUUCUUCCUACAGCUCUCUUUUGCUGACUAAAGCACCUGGCUCUCUGCACACUCUCAACCUCUCUCUCUCUCUCAGACUCACUGACAAGAGCUUGAACUCACACACAUUUCCUCGUUACUUGUAUUUUUUUUCCCCUGCUGAGUGUCCAUAGUAAAUGACUAAAUUGAAAACCAAACCAAA